This 313-nucleotide ribosomal RNA is filed under the name uncultured bacterium. Its description in RNAcentral is "bacterial SSU rRNA". It matches the Rfam family "Bacterial small subunit ribosomal RNA", at positions 29 to 363 of the family's 1533-position model. The record is from RNAcentral.
AACGAACGCUGGCGGCAGGCUUAACACAUGCAAGUCGAACGCGUGUAGCAAUACACGAGUGGCGCACGGGUGAGUAACGCGUGGAUAUCUGCCUUUUUGGUUCGGAAUAACUCCGGGAAACUGGAGCUAAUACCGGAUGGUUCCUACGGGAUAAAGAUUUAUCGCCAAUAGAUGAGUCCGCGUACGAUUAGCUAGUUGGUGAGGUAAUGGCUCACCAAGGCGACGAUCGUUAGCUGGCCUGAGAGGACGAUCAGCCACCACUGGGACGUGAGACACGGCCCGAGACUCCUACGGGAGGCAGCAGUGGGGAAGU